RNAcentral lists this long non-coding RNA (218 nucleotides) under Phoenix dactylifera (date palm). Its description in RNAcentral is "long non-coding RNA (PDAC_LNC021227)". The record is from RNAcentral. Lineage: Eukaryota; Viridiplantae; Streptophyta; Magnoliopsida; Arecales; Arecaceae.
AUGCAAUAAGGCUUUAAACCCCUAGGUGGCCCUAGUGGACGAGUUUUGUCUCGUGAGGGUUUCCAGCUCAGAUACCCACAAACUGCUGUCUAAAGAAUUUAUUUUAUUGUUUUAUAAAAUCUAAUUUCAAAUGCAUUAAUGCCAAAAAUUUCAAAAGCACACAAAGUUUUAAUUACUAAGUCAGCCCAAAUUCUAGGUCAGUAUGCAACUUAAGUUGA